CCACUGGUCAGUCGGUAGAGCACAAGGCUCUUAGCCUUAUGGUCGUGGGUUCGAGCCCCACGGUGGG
This 67-nucleotide transfer RNA is filed under the name Triticum aestivum (bread wheat). It matches the Rfam family "tRNA". Rfam says of the family: Transfer RNA (tRNA) molecules are approximately 80 nucleotides in length. Their secondary structure includes four short double-helical elements and three loops (D, anti-codon, and T loops). Further hydrogen bonds mediate the characteristic L-shaped molecular structure. tRNAs have two regions of fundamental functional importance: the anti-codon, which is responsible for specific mRNA codon recognition, and the 3' end, to which the tRNAs corresponding amino acid is attached (by aminoacyl-tRNA synthetases). tRNAs cope with the degeneracy of the genetic code in two manners: having more than one tRNA (with a specific anti-codon) for a particular amino acid; and 'wobble' base-pairing, i.e. permitting non-standard base-pairing at the 3rd anti-codon position. The record is from Rfam by way of RNAcentral. Lineage: Eukaryota; Viridiplantae; Streptophyta; Magnoliopsida; Poales; Poaceae. RNAcentral also lists the same sequence under 1 other name.